UCUGGGGGAGGCUUGGUACAGCCUGGGGGGUCCCUGAGACUCUCCUGUGCAGCCUCUGGAUUCACCUUUAGCAGCUAUGCCAUGAGCUGGGUCCGCCAGGCUCCAGGGAAGGGGCUGGAGUGGGUCUCAGCUAUUAGUGGUAGUGGUGGUAGCACAUACUACGCAGACUCCGUGAAGGGCCGGUUCACCAUCUCCAGAGACAAUUCCAAGAACACGCUGUAUCUGCAAAUGAACAGCCUGAGAGCCGAGGACACGGCCGUAUAUUACUGUGCGAAAGACACCAGGAGGGCAGAGGCUGUGCUACUGGUACUUCGAUCUCUGGGGCCGUGG
Molecule: long non-coding RNA, 330 nt
Filed under: Homo sapiens (human)
Lineage: Eukaryota; Metazoa; Chordata; Mammalia; Primates; Hominidae
Description: non-protein coding lnc-BRF1-31:15
Source: RNAcentral